RNAcentral lists this ribosomal RNA (777 nucleotides) under uncultured Neocallimastigales. Its description in RNAcentral is "partial large subunit ribosomal RNA". It matches the Rfam family "Eukaryotic large subunit ribosomal RNA", at positions 22 to 640 of the family's 3401-position model. Lineage: Eukaryota; Fungi; Neocallimastigomycota; Neocallimastigomycetes; Neocallimastigales. The record is from RNAcentral.
GUACACGCUGUGACUAGCAUAUCAAUAAGCGGAGGAAAAGAAACUAACAAGGAUUCCCCUAGUAACGGCGAGUGAAGCGGGAAGAGCUCAAAUGUGAAAUCUUAAAGGGUUUCCCUUUACGAAUUGUAGUUUAAAGAAGUGUUUUCUGUUGAGGUUUUGGUAAAAGUUCUUUGGAAUAGGACAUCAUAGAGGGUGAGAAUCCCGUAUUUGACCUUUACUUUCAACUUUGUGAUACACUUUCAAAGAGUCGGAUUGUUUGGGAAUGCAGUCCAAAAUGGGUGGUAAAUUUCAUCUAAAGCUAAAUAUUGGCGGAGAGACCGAUAGCGAACAAGUACCGUGAGGGAAAGAUGAAAAGAACUUUGAAAAGAGAGUUAAACAGUACGUGAAAUUGUCAAAAGGGAAGCGUUUGACACCAGUGUUGUUUUUCUGAAAAUCAAUUAAAGAACUGUUUAUGCUAAGCUGUUUAGACUUUAUCAGCUAAUCUGUUUAGUUUUGAGCUUUUCUUUAAUGCACUUUUCAGUUAACAAGUCAACAUCAAUUUCUUUUGCUGUAAAAAAGCUUGAGGAAGGUGGCUUGAGAUUCGUCUUAAGUGUUUAUAGCCUCUUGCCUAUGCAGUCGGAGAGAUUGAGGUCUGCAGCGUAGAUCCUUCGGGGCUAAAUGCAUUUGUGCUAAGUUAUAGCAUUUUAUAGACAACUUUGUUGACUAUGAUUUGUCUUGUAGCUUACUCGCUUAUGUUAUUUUACCUACGCUUAGGAUGUUGAUAUGCAUGACUGAUAU